This 484-nucleotide ribosomal RNA is filed under the name uncultured bacterium. RNAcentral describes it as "partial 16S ribosomal RNA". It matches the Rfam family "Bacterial small subunit ribosomal RNA", at positions 28 to 523 of the family's 1533-position model. The record is from RNAcentral.
GACGAACGCUGGCGGCGUGCUUAACACAUGCAAGUCGAACGAUGAAGCUGGAGCUUGCUCCGGUGGAUUAGUGGCGAACGGGUGAGUAACACGUGAGUAAUCUGCCCUCGACUCUGGGAUAACUGCGGGAAACUGUAGCUAAUACCGGAUACGACACCUUCGGGCAUCCGAUGGGUGUGGAAAGAAUUUCGGUCAAGGAUGAACUCGCGGCCUAUCAGCUAGUUGGUGAGGUAAUGGCUCACCAAGGCGACGACGGGUAGCCGGCCUGAGAGGGUGACCGGCCACACGGGGACUGAGACACGGCCCAGACUCCUACGGGAGGCAGCAGUGGGGAAUAUUGCACAAUGGGCGAAAGCCUGAUGCAGCAACGCCGCGUGAGGGAUGAAGGCCUUCGGGUUGUAAACCUCUUUUAGUUGGGAAGAAGCGAAAGCGACGGUACCAACAGAAAAAGCACCGGCUAACUACGUGCCAGCAGCCGCCGUAA